AUAUUUAAUAUCAUGAAUAACAGUGAUGUAGAAAUCGAUUCAAUUUCUGCGAGCAAUUCGACACACUAGAUUUUCACCAGAAAACACAUGCAAAAUCCCUAACUAGGAGUGAGAAUAGGUUUACCCAACUUCUCCGCUACCGGAGAAGAACGACCUUCAAUAUACAAUCAAAACCCUAGCUCCGAGUGAUAUAAGCCCAAAACUUGUGACUCCGCCGGAAUCAAGCUCAAAAGGCGUCGGAAAUCUACCCAAAACACCGAGCUCAAGAGAAUGCCAACAAACGAAACCAGAAGAAGCUUCGAUUCACCAGCUAACAAAAAAAACCACAGAAACUCGAAUCACCAGUGAAACCUCAACAAACUGAACCGGGUUGAAAGAAUGGAGGAGAAGCGUCCCAGAAUGCAUGCUCUGAUACCAUGAAAACAUGGCGGAUUGAGAGAAGGAUACAGUUUACAUCCGAUUUUGGCCAAAGAAAAUGAGAGAGACAAUUCAUUCUUUUACCAGAG
Molecule: long non-coding RNA, 506 nt
Filed under: Nicotiana benthamiana
Lineage: Eukaryota; Viridiplantae; Streptophyta; Magnoliopsida; Solanales; Solanaceae
Description: long non-coding RNA (NBEN_LNC033470)
Source: RNAcentral